This 789-nucleotide ribosomal RNA is filed under the name uncultured bacterium. RNAcentral's name for it is "bacterial SSU rRNA". It matches the Rfam family "Bacterial small subunit ribosomal RNA", at positions 8 to 796 of the family's 1533-position model. The record is from RNAcentral.
AGAGUUUGAUCAUGGCUCAGGAUGAACGCUAGCGGCAGGCCUAAUACAUGCAAGUCGAACGGGCUGGAGUAGCAAUACUUCAGUUAGUGGCGCACGGGUGCGUAACGCGUAUGCAACCUACCUUUUAUUGGGGGAUAGCCCGAAGAAAUUCGGAUUAAUACCGCAUAAUAUCAUUUGAGGGCAUCUGAGGAUGAUUAAAGCUACGGCGAUAAAAGAUGGGCAUGCGUGUCAUUAGCUAGUUGGUUGAGGUAACGGCUCACCAAGGCGACGAUGACUAGGGGUUCUGAGAGGAUGAUCCCCCACACUGGUACUGAGAUACGGACCAGACUCCUACGGGAGGCAGCAGUAGGGAAUAUUGGGCAAUGGCCGCAAGGCUGACCCAGCCAUGCCGCGUGCAGGAUGAAGGCCUUCUGGGUUGUAAACUGCUUUUACCAGGGAAGAAAAUACCUUUGCGAAGGGAACUGACGGUACCUGGUGAAUAAGCACCGGCUAACUCCGUGCCAGCAGCCGCGGUAAUACGGAGGGUGCAAGCGUUGUCCGGAUUUAUUGGGUUUAAAGGGUGCGUAGGCGGCGUAAUAAGUCCGUGGUGAAAGCCAACAGCUCAACUGUUGAACUGCCAUGGAUACUGUUAGGCUUGAGUACAGACGAGGUAGGCGGAAUGGAUCGUGUAGCGGUGAAAUGCAUAGAUACGAUCCAGAACUCCGAUUGCGAAGGCAGCUUACUAGGCUGUAACUGACGCUGAGGCACGAAAGCGUGGGGAGCGAACAGGAUUAGAUACCCUAGUAGUCC